This 253-nucleotide ribosomal RNA is filed under the name uncultured bacterium. RNAcentral's name for it is "partial 16S ribosomal RNA". It matches the Rfam family "Bacterial small subunit ribosomal RNA", at positions 524 to 776 of the family's 1533-position model. The record is from RNAcentral.
UACGAAGGGUGCAAACGUUGCUCGGAAUUAUUGGGCGUAAAGCGCACGUAGGCGGCUAUCUAAGUCGGAUGUGAAAUCCCUCGGCUUAACCAAGGAAGUGCACCCGAAACUGGAUAGCUUGAGUACAGAAGAGGAUCGCGGAAUUCCCGGUGUAGAGGUGAAAUUCGUAGAUAUCUGGAGGAACACCGGUGGCGAAGGCGGCGUCCUGGACCAACACUGACACUGAUGAGCGAAAGCCAGGGGAGCAAACGGG